UACGUAGGGAGCAAGCGUUGUCCGGAUUUACUGGGUGUAAAGGGAGCGUAGGCGGCUUAGUAAGUCAGAAGUGAAAGCCCGCAGCUCAACUGCGGGACUGCUUUUGAAACUGCCAAGCUAGAGUGUCGGAGAGGUAAGUGGAAUUCCUAGUGUAGCGGUGAAAUGCGUAGAUAUUAGGAGGAACACCGGUGGCGAAGGCGGCUUACUGGGCUUAAACUGACGCUGAGGCACGAAAGUGUGGGGAGCAAACAGG
This 253-nucleotide ribosomal RNA is filed under the name uncultured Eubacteriales bacterium. RNAcentral describes it as "uncultured Clostridiales bacterium partial 16S ribosomal RNA". It matches the Rfam family "Bacterial small subunit ribosomal RNA", at positions 524 to 776 of the family's 1533-position model. Lineage: Bacteria; Bacillati; Bacillota; Clostridia; Eubacteriales. The record is from RNAcentral.